CCCUCUGCAGCCCUCCAGCUUCCAGCAUGCCGGGCCCGACCCCCAGCGGCACUAACGUGGGCUCCUCAGGGCGAUCGCCCAGCAAAGCGGUGGCCACCUGGGCUACGGGAUCGACUGUCCGGCAGAGAAUGCCAGCUGUGGGACAAGGAGCGCAGGCCACACAAACUUGGCAGGGACUGGAGGAUGUGGCGGUUCUACACAGAGGAUUCGCUUGGACUCAAAGCGUUGUCCCAGUUCCAGUUUGGGUUAUGAGUCUCUUGUUCAUCGCUUCUGUAUUUAUGUUGCACAUUUGGGGCUGCAUCCAUCUGUAUGGAGGUCGCAGCUGCUGCUGCCACAACCGCUGCGGCUGCAGCCGGGGCUACUGA
Molecule: RNA transcript, 365 nt
Organism: Dipodomys ordii (Ord's kangaroo rat)
Lineage: Eukaryota; Metazoa; Chordata; Mammalia; Rodentia; Heteromyidae
Gene name: protein transport protein Sec61 subunit beta pseudogene
Exons: 2
Source: RefSeq, a predicted model, not a curated record